CGGGAAUCAGCCAACAGUUCCAAUUCCAGGCCAUCACCACGAAGAACAGCCAUAGGACAUACAUCAGGACACAGAAACUGCAGUCGACUACUCUUUUUGAGCUCAACUGAGGAAGACGGGCUGGAGAAAAUGAGGCUCUUUUUUUUUUUUUUUUUUUUUUGAGAUGAAGUUUCACUCUUGUCGCCCAGCUGGAGUGGCAGUGGUAUGACCUCGGCUCAGUCAACAUUCACCUCCUGGGUUCAAGCAAUUCUCCUGCCUCAACCUCCUGAGUAGCUGGGAUUACAGGUGCACGCCACCAAGCCUGACUAAUUUUUGUAGUUUUAGUAGAGAGGGGGUUUCACCAAGUUGGCCAGGCUGGUCUCAAACUCCCAACCUCAGGUGAUCCACCUGCUUCGGCCUCUGAAAGUGCUGGGAUUGCAGGCGUGAGACACCGUGCCCGGCCAAGUGUGGGGCUCCUAAUGAGAGCUGGCAUACAGGUGUGGCGGGGACAUGAGCUGCUCCCCUACACUCAUUCUCUCCUGUGGUGCACACUCACUGGGAUAUAGCCACCCAGCCAGGGAUCACGUGCCAGGCUCUCGCUAUUGGAAUGUGAGCUCUCAGACACAAUACAUGCAACUAGGGGCCUCCUUACUGAAGACAGGCCUGGAGUUCUCCCUUUCUAGUGGUGACCAGUGGGACAUGGGAAGGCACAUGGAUAAAGUGGCAGAGCACUGUCAUCUGGGUCCCUAAAUGAUUGCAUGGAGCAGAACCUUCUGCUGACCUGAUGCAUGCAACUAUUGAGAUGAUGAUGGUAUAUGAUACAGUUCCUUAAGCCACUCAGCUUUUGAGGUCCAUUUGAGGUCCAGCAGCCUAGCCUGCCUAGCUAAUACAUGGGUCUCCAAGGUGACCUCCUUAAGAGUUUUCAAGAAUAGGUUUUCUCAUUAUACCUCAUUUCUGCCUUCGUUUCUGAUAUUAAACCCUACCCCUACCCUAUCUCAUAAAAUGUGAGUCCACUGCGUGCUGCAGUGGGCAACUGGACUGAGGGUGGGGUUGGGGCUUCUUCUUGCUUAUCUUUUCUAACUUUCCACAGCUCUGUUAAGCAUAAACUGCAUAAAAUUGUGGAUAGAAAAAAAGACUGGAAGGAAGAAGGAAAGCCUACUGUCUCCUGUGGCUCAUCUAGGAGUCAUGGCCAAGGACUGUGAUUGGGGAUUCCAGGCAGAGCCCAGGGCCCGGGUAUUCGCCAUCCACCAGAGCUUCUCAGAUCCUUCGGGAAGAAACCUCCCACUGGCCCAGCCCUGGGGACAGUUCGAUCUCAGAGACCCAGGUCCCAAUGCCAUCACAGUGGUUUCUUUCUCUCUUUCUUUCUUUCUUUCUUUUUUUUUUUUUUGAGAUGAAGUAUUGCUCUUGUCACCCAGGCUGGAGUGCAGAGGUGUGAUCUCAGCUCACUGCAACCUCUACCUCCCAGGUUCAAGUGAUUCUCCUGUCUCAGCCUCCCAGGUAGCUGGGAUUACAGGCAUGUGCCACCACGCCCGGCUAAUUUUUGUAUUUUUAUUAGAGACAGGGUUUCACCAUAUUGGUCAGGCUAGUCUCGAACUCCUGACAUCAGGUGAUCCGCCCACCUCAGCCUUCCAAAGUGCUGGGAUUACAGGCAUGAGCCACCACGCCUGGCCGUCAUCAUAGUGGUUUCUAAACAUUGUUCUGCAGGCCAGCUGCACCACAUCCCCUGGGGAGUUUGGAAAAUGUGAACUCCCCAGGCCUACUGUCUGCAGCUCUGAUCCAGCGCAGCCAGGUAGGGCCAGGGAAUCUUUUUUUUUUUUCUUUUUUCACAAACUCCCCAGGGCAGAACCCACUGGAGAUCCUGGUGGUCCUCCCUGUCCCCACUGACCUUUCAGAAGUUCAGCAGCAGGAGCCCUGCAGGCAGCUCCCCUCAGCCUCUCCUUCACAAGGGGACCUCUGCCUAGAGAUCCCUCCCUCUCUGAGCACUGCUGGCCGUGGACACAGCUGGGCCCAGAGGUUGAGCCCACUGGAUUUAACAGGACUCCUGGGCCAGCCAGAAGCAGCCUGGGCAGGCGACCGAUCCCGACUUACUGC
Molecule: long non-coding RNA, 2070 nt
Filed under: Homo sapiens (human)
Lineage: Eukaryota; Metazoa; Chordata; Mammalia; Primates; Hominidae
Description: HSALNT0231872
Source: RNAcentral